UACGAAGGGGGCUAGCGUUGUUCGGAUUUACUGGGCGUAAAGCGCGUGUAGGCGGACUUGUAAGUUGGGGGUGAAAUCCCGAGGCUCAACCUCGGAACUGCCUCCAAAACUACAAGUCUGGACUCAAGUAGAGGCAAGUGGAAUUGCGAGUGUAGAGGUGAAAUUCGUAGAUAUUCGCAGGAACACCAGUGGCGAAGGCGACUUGCUGGACUUGUAGUGACGCUGAGACGCGAAAGCGUGGGGAGCAAACAGG
RNAcentral lists this ribosomal RNA (253 nucleotides) under uncultured Alphaproteobacteria bacterium. RNAcentral describes it as "partial 16S ribosomal RNA". It matches the Rfam family "Bacterial small subunit ribosomal RNA", at positions 524 to 776 of the family's 1533-position model. The record is from RNAcentral. Lineage: Bacteria; Pseudomonadati; Pseudomonadota; Alphaproteobacteria.